GAACUCUGGAGAAUCCCGUUUUCGGGUGCCGAAGGUGCAAGGCUUAAAGCCGAAUCUCUCAGGCCAAAGAACAGAGCCG
This 79-nucleotide non-coding RNA is filed under the name human gut metagenome. RNAcentral's name for it is "Glycine riboswitch". It matches the Rfam family "Glycine riboswitch aptamer", at positions 9 to 86 of the family's 94-position model. Rfam says of the family: This family represents the bacterial glycine riboswitch. The record is from RNAcentral.